GGUUGGUCUGAGUGCAGUGGUGUUUACAAUCAAUUGACUGCAACUAGUUAUAGUUUUCUUUGCCCCUUCUCCAUUUUCACUGCUUCACUUGACCAGCCUUAA
Molecule: Y RNA, 102 nt
Filed under: Microcebus murinus (gray mouse lemur)
Lineage: Eukaryota; Metazoa; Chordata; Mammalia; Primates; Cheirogaleidae
Description: Y RNA (ENSMICG00000043188.1)
Rfam family: Y RNA
About the family: Y RNAs are components of the Ro ribonucleoprotein particle (Ro RNP), in association with Ro60 and La proteins. The Y RNAs and Ro60 and La proteins are well conserved, but the function of the Ro RNP is not known.
Source: Rfam by way of RNAcentral